CACCGCGGUUAUACGAGAGACCCAAGUUGACAGACAAUCGGCGUAAAGAGUGGUUAAGUAAUACAUUACACUAAAGCCAAACACCUUCAAAGCUGUUAUACGCACCCGAAGAUCAGAAGCUCAAUCACGAAAGUGGCUUUAAACUAACUGAACCCACGAAAGCUAGGGUA
This 170-nucleotide ribosomal RNA is filed under the name Acanthurus blochii (ringtail surgeonfish). Its description in RNAcentral is "partial 12S rRNA". Lineage: Eukaryota; Metazoa; Chordata; Actinopteri; Acanthuriformes; Acanthuridae. The record is from RNAcentral.